CAGGUUGACCUCGGAUCA
RNAcentral lists this ribosomal RNA (18 nucleotides) under Colletotrichum acutatum. RNAcentral describes it as "partial 28S ribosomal RNA". Lineage: Eukaryota; Fungi; Ascomycota; Sordariomycetes; Glomerellales; Glomerellaceae. The record is from RNAcentral.